CGGGAAACUGGAUAUAGUGUGGAAAACAAAUCUGGGUGAAAGGGGCCGACUACAGACCAGCCAGCUUCAAAGGAUGGUGAGUGCGGGGCUGGUGUGAGAGGACAGGUGAGUCUUACACCUCAGCACCAAAGGGCAGAGCCCACGAGUCCCUCAUUUCUAGAAAACGCUAAUGGUCGUGUUGACCCAUAGGUAGAAAACUAGUGCCGAGAUUCCUGGGAAAUGUUCAGAUGUUAGUGUGUGACUUUUGUCUGGUUUGGUUUGUUGUUGAUGAUGAUGAUUUCACCAAGCAGGACUUAAGGUAACUGCGUAUGAGUUACUCUUCUCCCCAAGUCACGCUCACCGCUCAUCUGAUGCUCCUUACAUCGAGGUACCCUGGGAGAUGUCCCGAACGUCACAGAAUCACAGCACUUACCAACUCAGUCUACACCUCUGUCACUUUUGUCUUAGAACAGGCUGUCAGUGUGCCGCCAUGGCCGGUCUGGAACUGGACAGCCCUUCGAGAUCAGACCCCUAAAUCCUAAUUCAUUCUUGUCUCAAGGCAAGACUCAUGUUAAUUCUGCGGAGUCUGGAGUAUCAUAAACAGUCCAAGCCGCAGGUCCUGCUAGCCAAGGUCACAGCAAGGGGUUGAGUGUAGACUAGGCCAGAGCAGCAGCAUGUGGUCAGAAUGCCAGCCGCGUGUCGAGUGGGCACAGACACCUUCAUUAGCAUCGAAAGGUUUCUUAAUUGUGUAUUUUAACUGUUAACUUUUUUCCGCAGGCUCCAGGUUAUGGAGAUGUUAGGCUGUCUUUAGAGGCCAUCCCAGAUACCGUAAACCUAGAAGAACCUUUCCACAUUACCUGUAAAAUCACAAACUGCAGCAGUGAGAGGACGAUGGACCUAGUGCUGGAGAUGUGCAACACCACCUCUAUCCACUGGUGUGGGAUUUCGGGAAGACAGCUGGGGAAGCUGCACCCCAG
Molecule: long non-coding RNA, 956 nt
Filed under: Rattus norvegicus (Norway rat)
Lineage: Eukaryota; Metazoa; Chordata; Mammalia; Rodentia; Muridae
Description: long non-coding RNA NONRATT016069
Source: RNAcentral